UCUCUGUAGGUCUUGUCGUUUUGAAAGUGUGCCCCUUUAUAAAGAAAGAAAGAAAACAAACACCCUUUUUCACACAGUCUGAGUUCACAAGCAGGGAUGGUAUAGUGUUAGUGUGUCAGGAAGGACUGAUGAUUAUCUCUACUAUAGGUGUUUUUGGUGUUGUGCCCUGCGAUGGAGAGCAAACCAGCAUCAUCUGAGCGACCUGGUGUGCAUCUCAUAGUUAGCUCUUUAGGGAUGUGAGUGUGUGUGUGUGUGUGUAUGUGUGAGAGAGUGUGUGUGUGUGUUUUGUGUGAGUGUGUGUGUGUGUGUGUGAGUGUGUGUGUGUGUGUGUGAGUGUGUUUGUGUUGUGUGAGUGUGUGUGUGUGUGUGAGUGUUUUGUGUGUGUGUGAGAGAGUGUGUGUGUUUGUGUUGUGUGAGUGUGUUUGUUGGGGGGGGGGGUUUGUGUUUUGUGUGUGUGUGUGUGUGUGUGUGUGUACAUAUAAGACUCAGAUCAAACAGCGUCAAAAUUGCAGCUUGUGGACACACAAUACAGUUCAAGCAACAAUGUACAAACCGUUAAAAUGGUGCUAAUAAAGUGUCACGCCGGCUGGUGGCUUUUAUUUAGUAGUUCUCCUGUUUCUUGUCAGGAUCGAGCACAUUUUGCCUGACGGGCGAAUUAGUAGUUUUAGAGCUUAGGUGACAUAACUGGAAAUAACACCCAGCUGGGUUUAAAUAGAUUUAUUUUUUAAAAACAAUAUACAGAAAUAUAUAUAUAUAGAAAUAUAUUUAUAUAUAGACCUAUAGAAUCAAUUAUAAAUGCUUCCUGAACAGGCUAUUUAACAAAUAAAAGUCAGAUGCAAUUAUUUAUAGGGAUAUAUUUCUUACUGCUUUUCCAUUCAUUUCCUAUGGUCUUGGAAGAGUGAAAUAUAUGUGAAAUAUACAAACUAGACCUCUCAGUUUAGCUUGUAUUCCAACCCCAGUGACGUAAUACCUCUCUUCUUUAUUUCUCGGCGAUCUCUUUCUCUGCAUAUUAAGUUGUCGCGAGUCUU
RNAcentral lists this long non-coding RNA (1028 nucleotides) under Sinocyclocheilus grahami. RNAcentral describes it as "lncRNA (ENSSGRG00000014291.1)". Lineage: Eukaryota; Metazoa; Chordata; Actinopteri; Cypriniformes; Cyprinidae. The record is from RNAcentral.